Molecule: ribosomal RNA, 468 nt
Filed under: uncultured bacterium
Lineage: Bacteria
Description: partial 16S ribosomal RNA
Rfam family: Bacterial small subunit ribosomal RNA
Source: RNAcentral
GACGAACGCUGGCGGCGUGCUUAACACAUGCAAGUCGAACGGAAAGGCCCUGCUUUUGUGGGGUGCUCGAGUGGCGAACGGGUGAGUAACACGUGAGUAACCUGCCCUUGACUUUGGGAUAACUUCAGGAAACUGGGGCUAAUACCGGAUAGGAGCUCCUGCUGCAUGGUGGGGGUUGGAAAGUUUUGGCGGUUGGGGAUGGACUCGCGGCUUAUCAGCUUGUUGGUGGGGUAGUGGCUUACCAAGGCUUUGACGGGUAGCCGGCCUGAGAGGGUGACCGGCCACAUUGGGACUGAGAUACGGCCCAGACUCCUACGGGAGGCAGAAGUGGGGAAUAUUGCACAAUGGGCGGAAGCCUGAUGCAGCAACGCCGCGUGCGGGAUGACGGCCUUCGGGUUGUAAACCGCUUUCGCCUGUGACGAAGCGUGAGUGACGGUAAUGGGUAAAGAAGCACCGGCUAACUACGUG